AACAGGUUACUUGUGGUGCAGU
This 22-nucleotide microRNA is filed under the name Ornithorhynchus anatinus (platypus). RNAcentral's name for it is "oan-miR-1421r-5p". Lineage: Eukaryota; Metazoa; Chordata; Mammalia; Monotremata; Ornithorhynchidae. The record is from miRBase by way of RNAcentral.